Long non-coding RNA from Bactrocera tryoni, 1107 nucleotides. RefSeq lists it as uncharacterized. The record is from RefSeq and is a predicted model, not a curated record. NCBI's taxonomy places the organism in Eukaryota, Metazoa, Arthropoda, Insecta, Diptera, Tephritidae. The transcript has 5 exons.
UUAGUUUUUCGGGGAAGAAUUGGAAGCUCCUGUUAAUGUGUGCUAAUGUGUAUUACGUGUAUUUUAAAGCAGUUAAGAUAUGAAAUAUUGUGUUCGCCAUAACAUUUCGUUGUUAAAAGUGCAAUAAAACGCUCAGCAUAAAAGAAAUCACGAAAAGAGUGGAAAUCCUGAAAAGGAUUUGCAAAAUAGAAAUUAUUUCGUCUCCUUAAAAAAUGAAACUAUAAAAAGUGCGAAAAAGUUCUCCUCUAAAACAAAGCCGUAAAAUGUGUGCAAAAGUUUCAAGUAGGUAGUCUUCGAAAGCAAUAAAGCUGGAAAAGUGUGGAAAGUGAAAAGCAUAAAAAUUAAAACGUAGCUCUAACACUCAAAAAUUACCGCAACUCGGAAAGUUCACCGGUUGAAAAAAGGAGUGUGCAUCUUCCUUGCGGAAUUGCUUAGUAAAAGGAACGGAAGAAAACGCGUUACUAUUUGCUCGCUGCGCAAGUGUCUUAAAGUGUGCAUGGAUUAUGUCAAAAUUGUCGUCUUUUCGCACUAAUCUUGUUAUAAUCUUCAACGCUUGGAAAUUUCUUUUAGUUUGCUUCAGGUGGAUCACUGAUGACUGGAGUCCAUGCAGCCGUCUCUGUUGACCUAGCUACUGUGAGCGUAUGGUGGUGUGCGCAAAGGAGAAUAAUGGCAUCAAGAUAACGGUACUGGAUGUGACGUGUUGAGCGCCAAAGCCAAGCACACAGGAGCCCUGCACGAUUGAGAAGUGCCCAAUAUGAGAGGUGGAGAAGUAGACUGGUCAAAAACUCUUUUCUCCGUAAGGCAUUUGAAUACUUAAAUAUGCUUCAACCAUGUAACUUCUGCCACAACCUAACUAUUCCGAUAUGCCCUCCAGCUUGCACACUCAUAUGUUUUCGAAUGUAUGUUUGCCUUGGGCGACAGGCAUAGCGCUCGGUAACCUGUGGGCAGGGCUUGCAGAUACGUGGAGUUGAAUGUAAAUCGGCCGACGGUACACACAGCGCAAAGUGCGACCCACUUACGAAGCACAUAGUGGCGCAGCAGUGCUUGACGGGGGUCUCAUGUGAUGGUGAUGGCGGUACGAUUAUACUUGGCAGCAGCGGGCCACUC